AGGGCGCACGGCGGAUGCCUUGGCGCAGGAAGUCGACGAAGGGCGCGGCAAGCCGCGAUAGUCCCGGGGGAGGCGCAGACGGCCUUCGAUCCCGGGGUGCCCGAAUGGGGGAACCCGCCGGGGGCAAUGCCCCGGCACCCGGUUGGCGAACGCAUAGCCUUCCGGGGGACAACCCGGGGAACUGAAACAUCUAAGUACCCGGAGGAAGAGAAAUCAACCGAGAUCGCGCCAGUAGCGGCGAGCGAACGCGCGCGAUGCCCAAACCCGGGACGGCGCCACAGCGUGCAUGCGCUGCCGCCCGGGGGUUGCGGGGCGCGGGAUUCCGGGCGAUGCACCGCCCGGCGCGCGGCGGAGGGACGUGCAGCGGAACGGCAUGGGAAGGCCGGCCGCAGAGGGUGAGGGCCCCGUACGCGAAGCACGUCCCCGGCGCGUCACGCGACCCCGAGUAGGGCCGGGCACGAGGAACCCGGCCCGAAUCAGGGGGGACCACCCUCCAAGGCUGAACACUCUCCUGCGACCGAUAGCGAACGAGUACCGCGAGGGAAAGGUGAAAAGCACCCCGGGAGGGGAGUGAAACAGCGCCUGAAACCGUGCGCCCACAAGCAGCCGGAGCACCUUUGCGGUGUGACGGCGUGCCUUUUGUAGAAUGAGCCAGCGAGUUGCGGGGCGCGGCGAGGUUAAGCUAGGAAGCGAGCCGCAGCGAAAGCGAGUCUUCAAGAUGGCGUCUUGUUGAGUCGCGUCCCGCAGACGCGAAGCCGGGUGAGCUACCCUGGGGCAGGCUGAAGCGGGGGUAAGACCCCGUGGAGGGCCGAACCCACGUCGGUUGAAAACGGCGGGGAUGACCCCAGGGUAGGGGUGAAAGGCCAAUCAAACCCGGAGAUAUCUCGUUCUCCCCGAAAUAGCUUUAGGGCUAGCCCCGGGGGAUCCCCGCAGGCGGUAGAGCACCGGAUCGGCGAGGGGGCGUCGCUGCCUACCGACCCGAGCCGAACUCCGAAUGCCUGCGGACCGGAACCCGGGAGUCAGAGCGCGUGGGCUAAGCUGCGCGCUCGAGAGGGAAACAGCCCAGACCGCCCGCCAAGGCCCCCAAGUCUCAGCUGAGUGGCAAAGGAUGUGCGUCCGCCCAGACAACCAGGAUGUUGGCUUAGAAGCAGCCAUGCAUUCAAAGAGUGCGUAACAGCUCACUGGUCGAGUGGACAUGCGCCGACAAUACACGGGGCUAAGCUGAGCGCCGAAGCGGCGGAUAGGAUAUUCUCCUAUGGUAGGGGAGCUCCCCCUGGGGGGCGAAGCGGAGGGGCGACCCUCCGUGGACCGCAGGGGGGUGAGAAUGCUGGCAUGAGUAGCGAGAGCGGCGUGGGAAACGCCGCCGCCGUAAGCCCAAGGUUUCCGGGGGAAGGCUAAUCCCCCCCGGGUCAGCCGGGAGCUAAGGCGAGGCCGGGAGGCGUAGCCGAUGCGCAACGGGUUGAGAUUCCCGUGCCGCCGGCCGGGCGCUACGACCGACGGGGCGACGGAGGAGGGCAGCCGGGCGGGGUUCUGGACGUCCCCGUGAAAGCGCGUAGGCCGGGAUGCAGGCAAAUCCGCAUCCCGCGAGGGCCGAGACGCGAGACGAAGCCGUUUUCGGCGAAGCCGGUCAUCCCAUGCUCCCGAGAAAAACCCCUAGGCAGCCCGGGCGGCGCCCGUACCAAAACCGACACAGGUGGGCGGGUAGAGCAUACCGAGGCGAUCGGGGGAACCAUGGCAAAGGAACUCGGCAAAAUCGCCCCGUAACCUAGGGAGAAGGGGCGCCCCGCGUAGGGUGGGGGAGGCUCGCCCUCCCGAGCCCGAGGGGGCCGCAGCGAAUAGGCCCAAGCGACUGUUUACCAAAAACACAGGACUCUGCCAAGCCGCAAGGCGACGUAUAGGGUCUGACGCCUGCCCGGUGCCGGAAGGUCACGGGGAUCCGUUAGCGGCGACGCGAAGCGGUGAACCCAAGCCCCGGUAAACGGCGGCCGUAACUAUAACGGUCCUAAGGUAGCGAAAUUCCUUGUCGGGUAAGUUCCGACCUGCACGAACGGCGUAACGACUUGGGCGCUGUCUCUGCCAUGGACCCGGUGAAAUUGCACUGUUCGUGAAGAUGCGAGCUUCCCGCGGAAGGACGGAAAGACCCCGUGAACCUUCACUGCAGCUUGGCAUUGGCGUCUGGUUCGGCGUGUAGAGGAUAGGCAGGAGCCCGCGAAGCGGGGGCGCAAGCCCCCGCGGAGGCGCCCUUGGAAUACUGCCCUCGCCGCGCCGGCCGCCUAACCCCGCACCGUCAUCCGGGCGGGGGACCGUGCCAGGCGGGUAGUUUGACUGGGGCGGUCGCCUCCCAAAAUGUAACGGAGGCGCGCGCAAGGUCGGCUCAGGACGGUCGGCAACCGUCCCGAGAGCGCAAGAGUGCAAGCCGGCUUGACUGCGAGGCGGACGUGCCGAGCAGGUGGGAAACCAGGCUCUAGUGAUCCGGCGGCCCCGAGUGG
This 2489-nucleotide ribosomal RNA is filed under the name human gut metagenome. RNAcentral's name for it is "bacterial LSU rRNA". It matches the Rfam family "Bacterial large subunit ribosomal RNA", at positions 14 to 2436 of the family's 2925-position model. The record is from RNAcentral.